GCCUGGCUGGCUCAAUCAGUAGAGCAUGUGACUCUUAAUCUUGGGAUCAUGAGUUUGAACCCCGUGGUGGGUG
RNAcentral lists this transfer RNA (73 nucleotides) under Ailuropoda melanoleuca (giant panda). It matches the Rfam family "tRNA". From Rfam's summary of the family: Transfer RNA (tRNA) molecules are approximately 80 nucleotides in length. Their secondary structure includes four short double-helical elements and three loops (D, anti-codon, and T loops). Further hydrogen bonds mediate the characteristic L-shaped molecular structure. tRNAs have two regions of fundamental functional importance: the anti-codon, which is responsible for specific mRNA codon recognition, and the 3' end, to which the tRNAs corresponding amino acid is attached (by aminoacyl-tRNA synthetases). tRNAs cope with the degeneracy of the genetic code in two manners: having more than one tRNA (with a specific anti-codon) for a particular amino acid; and 'wobble' base-pairing, i.e. permitting non-standard base-pairing at the 3rd anti-codon position. The record is from Rfam by way of RNAcentral. Lineage: Eukaryota; Metazoa; Chordata; Mammalia; Carnivora; Ursidae.